UCAGGAUGAACGCUAGCUACAGGCUUAACACAUGCAAGUCGAGGGGUAGCAGGGUAGCAAUACCGCUGACGACCGGCGCACGGGUGAGUAACACGUAUCCAACCUUCCCAUAACUCAGGGAUAGCCUUUCGAAAGAAAGAUUAAUACCUGAUAGUACUUUUUCAAGGCAUCUUGAAAAAAGUUAAAGAUUUAUUGGUUAUGGAUGGGGAUGCGUUCCAUUAGAUAGUUGGUGAGGUAACGGCUCACCAAGUCUUCGAUGGAUAGGGGUUCUGAGAGGAAGGUCCCCCACAUUGGUACUGAGACACGGACCAAACUCCUACGGGAGGCAGCAGUGAGGAAUAUUGGUCAAUGGGCGAGAGCCUGAACCAGCCAAGUAGCGUGAAAAGGAUGAAGGUCCUAUGGAUUGUAAACUUCUUUUAUAGUAGAAUAAAGUGAGCCACGUGUGGUUUUUUGUAUGUAUACUAUGAAUAAGGAUCGGCUAACUCCGUGCCAGCCGCGGC
RNAcentral lists this ribosomal RNA (500 nucleotides) under uncultured bacterium. RNAcentral describes it as "bacterial SSU rRNA". It matches the Rfam family "Bacterial small subunit ribosomal RNA", at positions 24 to 518 of the family's 1533-position model. The record is from RNAcentral.